RNAcentral lists this ribosomal RNA (792 nucleotides) under uncultured archaeon. Its description in RNAcentral is "bacterial SSU rRNA". It matches the Rfam family "Archaeal small subunit ribosomal RNA", at positions 85 to 879 of the family's 1478-position model. The record is from RNAcentral.
AAAGCUCAGUAACACGUGGGUAACCUGCCCUAUGCUGGGGGAUAACCUCGGGAAACUGAGAAUAAUACCCCAUAGUUCACCACGCCUGGAACGGUGGGUGGACCAAAGCUCCGGCGGCAUAGGAUGGGCCUGCGGCGUAUCAGGUUGUAGGGGGUGUAAUGUACCCUCUAGCCCUCUACGCGUACGGGUGUUGAGAGACAUCGCCCGGAGAUGGAUUCUGAGACACGAAUCCAGACCCUACGGGGUGCAGCAGGCGCGAAAACUUGGCAAUGCGAGAAAUCGUGACCAGGGAACUCCAAGUGCAUCGGGUAAGACCGAUGCUUUUCUUGACUCUUCAAAGGUCUUGGAAUAAGGGGUGGGUAAGGACGGUGCCAGCCGCCGCGGUAAUACCGGCGCCCCAAGUGGUAGUCGCUUUUAUUGGGCCUAAAACGUCCGUAGCCGGUCUGGUACAUUCGUGGGUAAAUCAACCAGCUCAACUGGUUGAAUUCUGCGAGCACGGCCAGACUUGGGACCGGGAGAGGUGUGGGGUACUCUAAGGGUAGGGGUAAAAUCCUGUCAUCCUGAGAGGACCACCUGUUGCGAAGGCGCCACACUAGAACGGAUCCGACGGUCAGGGACGAAGCCUAGGGGCACGAACCGGAUUAGAUACCCGGGUAGUCCUAGGUGUAAACGCUGUGGACUUGAUGUUGGGGGCGCUCCGAGCGCACUCAGUGUCGAAGCGAAGGUGAUAAGUCCACUGCCUGGGGAGUACGGUCGCAAGGCUGAAACUUAAAGGAAUUGGCGGGGGAGCAC